UUGCUUCUCUGGCUGUUUCACGGUUGGGAUGGUGGCGUGGCGUUGGGGCUGUCUUGCGGGUUGGCCGGAGAGGGAGCACACCGAGUGGGCUUCUAAGAUGGCUGAGGUGAUUAUUUGCUCCCUUGUUUGUCUUUCCCUUUGUGAUGUGUAUGUGCUCAUCAAGGGCUUUGUUGUUUUUUAGGGAUUUGUCUAGGGUUUCCUGGUUAAUCCAUUCUGAUUUUGGUCUGCUCAUGCUCUUGGCUUCCGGACCGUGGUGCUCAAGGUGGUCUGGCUGUCGCCGCCGCCCCUGCUUGACGAUGCUGCACCCCUGCUCGAUCACUUUAUAAAAAUAGCGUAUGCAGAAGUGAAAACGAGUCAAACAGAUGAUCAGUGCCUCAGUCCUUCAGUACUUGAGGUAUGUGUUGAC
This 406-nucleotide long non-coding RNA is filed under the name Triticum aestivum (bread wheat). RNAcentral's name for it is "long non-coding RNA (TAES_LNC013069)". The record is from RNAcentral. Lineage: Eukaryota; Viridiplantae; Streptophyta; Magnoliopsida; Poales; Poaceae.